UACGUAGGGGGCAAGCGUUGUCCGGAAUCAUUGGGCGUAAAGCGCGCGUAGGCGGCCCGGUAAGUCCGCUCUGAAAGUCCAGGGCUCAACCCUGGAAAGCGGGUGGAUACUGCCGGGCUAGAAUCCGGAAGAGGCGAGUGGAAUUCCUGGUGUAGAGGUGAAAUUCGUAGAUAUUCGGAAGAACACCAGUGGCGAAGGCGACUCGCUGGACAAGUAUUGACGCUGAGGAACGAAAGCCAGGGGAGCGAACGGG
RNAcentral lists this ribosomal RNA (253 nucleotides) under uncultured bacterium. RNAcentral's name for it is "partial 16S ribosomal RNA". It matches the Rfam family "Bacterial small subunit ribosomal RNA", at positions 524 to 776 of the family's 1533-position model. The record is from RNAcentral.